AGAAACCUCACAAAAAUGGAAACUAUUUUCUAAGUUACUGUGUCCUUUUCCUAAAACAUUUACUCUCUCCACAUGAAAAACAUAUUAAAAUCUGCUGCCAUGCUUGGGAAGGAUUCUGACCUAGCCACCGUCCCUCCGUGUCAUAAGAGUCAUCGAUAUGGCACUCCUUCCAUGCAUGAAAUUAUGUCAGAAAUUACAAAAGAGCCCUACUAAAGAUGAUUUUCAUUUCAUAUACUAAUUGCCCAGGAACAGCAAGGUAAAAAGAACGUGUUGUACCAGUGGGAAUUUAAGGAGCACCACUGAGCAAGCUGCAUGUCCGGUAACAGUUCACACAAGCACUCCGACCUCCCUGACACUACAGAGCCUUUCUCAAUUUCCGCAAGUUUCCGAGAAGCAGCACAAGGAGUCAUCUCCGUCCGCCUGAUGAUAUUCACCUCGGUGACAUCUCACUGAGGGGAUAGCUCACUGGGAUUUGCGCACCUGAAACUGCCCCCGGGAGGCUUGUGAAAACCCUCAGCCCAGCGUACCUCCAGGACCCAGAGGAGUAAUUCCACUCCAAGCGCUGCCUAACGAAGGGCUGCUGCUGCCAGUGGGAAGGUGCUUGGGUGCCAGAGGGAUGCGAUUCAGCUCAGCCCCCUGAGGCCAGGCAGCAAAAUGACCCUACUGAGAUCUGUGACAGCAUUUGCCAGGGGAUUCAAGCCUCCACCUCCAGUGCACAGAAUAAAAUUGUCCGUGCAGCCACGGCAGAGCGUUCUCAGAACAGUUAUUCCUGCAUCGGGUGGGUUCAAACAAUCCUCGGCAACAGCCAAAAGCUUUGCUCAAAAAAGGAAGCAGAACACUUGACAAGAGACAAACUACGCUGUUGACUCAAACUUCAGCAGACAUUCCACAAGCCGCUGCUUUAUGUGAGGCAGAGACCAGCAGCUCUGUACAAUCAUCAUUCAUUUCGGGAAGUUCUUCUGCAAAGCCAAGAUUAUAACAGUUCAAAGAAAAUAACUUCGCAACUGUCAAAAGGCAAGAGCACGCUCAUCUUUUGAAGAAGUCCUAUAACAAUGACUGUCAUUGCGAGGAGCAAAAUUAUUUAAGAGCUUCAUAGUCAGAGAAGGGGUGAUGUUGUGGUUGUUAAAGCACAAGCGCUUAACCAAGAUGGUUUGGGUCUUUUUUGUUUGUUUUAAGUUUUGCCACUGUCACCUGGGGGACUUUGGGCCAACCCCUUGCCCUUCUUCAUUUCUGCCCCACUCUACACCUCUCUUGCUUUGAGGUAGCCUUUUUUUCCCCCCACUCAGUUGAUUCUGGCUGUCAAGACCUGGGUGCCAGCAGCAGGACAGCAGUGGCAGGGUGAAGCUGGAGUGACGGGAAUGCCCUGGGGAGUAAGGCACUGCCAACCUGGAGCACCACCUCCAGCAUUCCUGUGCUGUCCUGCACCUGGUGCACGAAGCUGGAUCCCCUCGGUAUUAACAAAGUCCAAACGAAGCUGCACCUGUAUUCCAAAGUCUUAAAUCUUACUGAAGAAUACGUUGUUCUCCAACAACGCCUGAAUUGGUCAGUAAAGCAUAUUCCUGGGUGACGCCAAUUGUCACAGAUUCCAGUUGUGCACUGAGAUUCAGCAAGCAAGUUCAGUGCAGCAAUGACAAUAAACCCCACCUUAAGAUCA
RNAcentral lists this long non-coding RNA (1654 nucleotides) under Anser brachyrhynchus (Pink-footed goose). RNAcentral describes it as "lncRNA (ENSABRG00000002030.1)". Lineage: Eukaryota; Metazoa; Chordata; Aves; Anseriformes; Anatidae. The record is from RNAcentral.